This 503-nucleotide ribosomal RNA is filed under the name uncultured bacterium. Its description in RNAcentral is "SSU rRNA". It matches the Rfam family "Bacterial small subunit ribosomal RNA", at positions 26 to 518 of the family's 1533-position model. The record is from RNAcentral.
AGGACGAACGCUGGCGGCGCGCUUAAUACAUGCAAGUCGAGCGAGAACCAGGGCUUCGGCCCUGGGGACAGCGGCGAACGGGUGAGUAACACGUGGGUAAUCAACCCCCGACACCGGGAUAGCCCAGGGAAACUUGGAUUAAUACCGGAUGCUCCAUCUGGCUUUCGAGCCGGCUGGAAAAGGGUAGCUUCGGCCUCCGGUCGGGGACGAGCCCGCGGCGGAUUAGCUUGUUGGUGAGGUAAAGGCUCACCAAGGCGACAAUCCGUAGCUGGUCUGAGAGGACGACCAGCCACACCGGAACUGAGACACGGUCCGGACUCCUACGGGAGGCAGCAGUGGGGAAUAUUGGACAAUGGGGGAAACCCUGAUCCAGCGACGCCGCGUGUGUGAAGAAGGCCUGCGGGUUGUAAGCACUUUUAGUGGGACAAAAGCUACGGACUAACACUCUGUGGUCUUGAUUUAACCCAAAGAAAAGCACCGGCUAACUCUGUGCCAGCAGCCGC